UCAUUACCGAGUGAGGGCCCUCUGGGUCCAACCUCCCACCCGUGUUUAUUUUACCUUGUUGCUUCGGCGAGCCUGCCUUUUGGCUGCCGGGGGACGUCUGUCCCCGGGUCCGCGCUCGCCGAAGACACCUUAGAACUCUGUCUGAAGAUUGUAGUCUGAGAUUAAAUAUAAAUUAUUUAAAACUUUCAACAACGGAUCUCUUGGUUCCGGCAUCGAUGAAGAACGCAGCGAAAUGCGAUACGUAAUGUGAAUUGCAGAAUUCAGUGAAUCAUCGAGUCUUUGAACGCACAUUGCGCCCUCUGGUAUUCCGGAGGGCAUGCCUGUCCGAGCGUCAUUGCUGCCCUCAAGCACGGCUUGUGUGUUGGGCUCCGUCCUCCUUCCGGGGGACGGGCCCGAAAGGCAGCGGCGGCACCGCGUCCGGUCCUCAAGCGUAUGGGGCUUUGUCACCCGCUUUGUAGGACUGGCCGGCGCCUGCCGAUCAACCAAACUUUUUUCCAGGUUGACCUCGGAUCAGGUAGGGAUACCCGCUGAACUUAAGCAUAUCAAUAAGCGGAGGAAAAGAAACCAACAGGGAUUGCCCCAGUAACGGCGAGUGAAGCGGCAAGAGCUCAAAUUUGAAAGCUGGCUCCUUCGGGGUCCGCAUUGUAAUUUGCAGAGGAUGCUUCGGGAGCGGUCCCCAUCUAAGUGCCCUGGAACGGGACGUCAUAGAGGGUGAGAAUCCCGUAUGGG
RNAcentral lists this ribosomal RNA (729 nucleotides) under fungal endophyte. RNAcentral describes it as "eukaryotic LSU rRNA". The stretch from base 501 to 729 matches the Rfam family "Eukaryotic large subunit ribosomal RNA", at positions 1 to 229 of the family's 3401-position model. Lineage: Eukaryota; Fungi. The record is from RNAcentral.